UGCAAACUCCCAGGAGUCCUGUAGCAUGUGUCCCUCAGCCACCACCUCCAAAAGCGGCCACUAUGGCUGGUCCGGAGGCGGGGGCACCCGCACAUGCACGCGACUCCGCGGGAUCCCGUGGUCCUGGUACGCACGCCCCGCGUAAACCGGCAGUGACGGGUACCCAAAAGAGCCUAGGGUGUCCCACAGUACAGCUGGGAAACCCUCGUAGUGAA
RNAcentral lists this long non-coding RNA (215 nucleotides) under Setaria viridis. Its description in RNAcentral is "long non-coding RNA (SVIR_LNC007841)". The record is from RNAcentral. Lineage: Eukaryota; Viridiplantae; Streptophyta; Magnoliopsida; Poales; Poaceae.